GUCCUCAUAGUUCAAUUGGAUAGAACAGGGGUUUGCGGAGCCCCAGAUGGAGGUUCGAAUCCUCCUGAGGACA
This 73-nucleotide transfer RNA is filed under the name Candidatus Parcubacteria bacterium. RNAcentral's name for it is "tRNA-Arg". It matches the Rfam family "tRNA". Rfam says of the family: Transfer RNA (tRNA) molecules are approximately 80 nucleotides in length. Their secondary structure includes four short double-helical elements and three loops (D, anti-codon, and T loops). Further hydrogen bonds mediate the characteristic L-shaped molecular structure. tRNAs have two regions of fundamental functional importance: the anti-codon, which is responsible for specific mRNA codon recognition, and the 3' end, to which the tRNAs corresponding amino acid is attached (by aminoacyl-tRNA synthetases). tRNAs cope with the degeneracy of the genetic code in two manners: having more than one tRNA (with a specific anti-codon) for a particular amino acid; and 'wobble' base-pairing, i.e. permitting non-standard base-pairing at the 3rd anti-codon position. Lineage: Bacteria; Candidatus Parcubacteria. The record is from RNAcentral.